This 492-nucleotide ribosomal RNA is filed under the name uncultured bacterium. Its description in RNAcentral is "partial 16S ribosomal RNA". It matches the Rfam family "Bacterial small subunit ribosomal RNA", at positions 29 to 507 of the family's 1533-position model. The record is from RNAcentral.
AGUGAACGCUGGCGGUAGGCCUAACACAUGCAAGUCGAACGGCAGCACAGUAAGAGCUUGCUCUUACGGGUGGCGAGUGGCGGACGGGUGAGGAAUACAUCGGAAUCUACUUUUUCGUGGGGGAUAACGUAGGGAAACUUACGCUAAUACCGCAUACGACCUACGGGUGAAAGCAGGGGAUCUUCGGACCUUGCGCGAUUGAAUGAGCCGAUGUCGGAUUAGCUAGUUGGCGGGGUAAAGGCCCACCAAGGCGACGAUCCGUAGCUGGUCUGAGAUGAUGAUCAGCCACACUGGAACUGAGACACGGUCCAGACUCCUACGGGAGGCAGCAGUGGGGAAUAUUGGACAAAGGGCGCAAGCCUGAUCCAGCCAUACCGCGUGGGUGAAGAAGGCCUUCGGGUUGUAAAGCCCUUUUGUUGGGAAAGAAAAGCAGCAGGUUAAUACCCCGCUGUUCUGACGGUACCCAAAGAAUAAGCACCGGCUAACUUCGUG